GAUGAACGCUGGCGGCGUGCCUAAUACAUGCAAGUCGAGCGAACAGACGCGGAGCUUGCUCCUUUGACGUUAGCGGCGGACGGGUGAGUAACACGUGGGUAACCUACCUAUAAGACUGGGAUAACUUCGGGAAACCGGAGCUAAUACCGGAUAAUAUUUCGAACCGCAUGGUUCGAUAGUGAAAGAUGGCUCUGCUAUCACUUAUAGAUGGACCUGCGCCGUAUUAGCUAGUUGGUAAGGUAACGGCUUACCAAGGCAACGAUACGUAGCCGACCUGAGAGGGUGAUCGGCCACACUGGAACUGAGACACGGUCCAGACUCCUACGGGAGGCAGCAGUAGGGAAUCUGCCGCAAUGGGCGAAAGCCUGACGGAGCAACGCCGCGUGAGUGAUGAAGGUCUUCGGAUCGUAAAACUCUGUUAUUAGGGAAGAACAAACGUGUAAGUAACUGUGCACGUCUUGACGGUACCUAAUCAGAAAGCCACGGCUAACUACGUG
Molecule: ribosomal RNA, 497 nt
Filed under: uncultured bacterium
Lineage: Bacteria
Description: partial 16S ribosomal RNA
Rfam family: Bacterial small subunit ribosomal RNA
Source: RNAcentral